Molecule: unclassified non-coding RNA, 366 nt
Filed under: soil metagenome
Description: partial contains 5.8S ribosomal RNA, internal transcribed spacer 2, and large subunit ribosomal RNA
Rfam family: 5.8S ribosomal RNA (bases 1-120)
Source: RNAcentral
GAUGAAGAACGUAGCGAAAUGCGAUAAGUAAUGUGAAUUGCAGAAUUCAGUGAACCAUCGAAUCUUUGAACGCACAUUGCGCCCGGUAGUAAUCUGCCGGGCAUGCCUGUCCGAGCGUCAUUUCUCCCCUCGAGCGCGGCUUCACGGCCUGUCGCUCGGAGUUGGGGCGCUACGGUGGAGCCCCGCGCUCCCCCCGUAGGCCCCGAAAUGUAGUGGCGGUCCCGCCGCGGCGCCCCCUGCGUAGUAGUCUUACAACUCGCAUCGGGACCCGGCGGAGGCCAGCCGUCAAACCCCCCAACUUCAAUAGUUUGACCUCGGAUCAGGUAGGGUUACCCGCUGAACUUAAGCAUAUCAAUAAGCGGAGGA